RNAcentral lists this small RNA (710 nucleotides) under Pongo abelii (Sumatran orangutan). Its description in RNAcentral is "retained intron". Lineage: Eukaryota; Metazoa; Chordata; Mammalia; Primates; Hominidae. The record is from RNAcentral.
CAGGCAGCGAGCUCAGAGCCCCAUCAAGGGCCCCAGGAACCUGGCCAGGGCUGCAACUAAGCAGAGGUGCUGGGUCUGACUGAUUGCCCUUGGCCUUGUCAACAAAGUUAGCUCUGUCUUGUGACACCUUUGUUUUUGCAGGGGAAGGAAAGAUACAACUUCCCCAACCCAAACCCCUUUGUGGAGGACGACAUGGAUAAGAAUGAAAUCGCCUCUGUUGCAUACCGUUACCGCAGGUGGAAGCUUGGAGACGAUAUUGACCUUAUUGUCCGUUGUGAGCAUGAUGGCGUCAUGACUGGAGCCAAUGGGGAAGUGUCCUUCAUCAACAUCAAGACACUCAAUGAGUGGGAUUCCAGGCACUGUAAUGGUGUUGACUGGCGUCAGAAGCUGGACUCUCAGCGAGGGGCCGUCAUUGCCACGGAACUGAAGAACAACAGCUACAAGUUGGCCCGGUGGACUUGCUGUGCUUUGCUGGCUGGAUCUGAGUACCUCAAGCUUGGUUAUGUGUCUCGGUACCAUGUGAAAGACUCCUCACGCCACGUCAUCCUGGGCACCCAGCAGUUCAAGCCUAAUGAGUUUGCCAGCCAGAUCAACCUGAGCGUGGAGAACGCCUGGGGCAUUUUACGCUGCGUCAUCGACAUCUGUAUGAAGCUGGAGGAGGGCAAAUACCUCAUCCUCAAGGACCCCAACAAGCAGGUCAUCCGUGUCUA